UGCCUUCUUUCAUGAGGAGGAGGAGUUGAUACCUUCUGCUGCCUCCUCUGACCCAUAAUGUGGUCACAUCCCAGGAGGACAAGCCCUUUGCCUCACUAUUCCUGCAGACCUGAAGACCCUGGGUAGCCUUGGAUGUAGUUGUCUAAGGACUUCUGUUAAACACUUUUCCUGCCAAGGACCUUAAAGCACUGUGUGCUACCCAGGAUUUUUCACUCCCAGUGUCUGUUGCCCUCUGUGAGCCCUCAAAUACCAGCCAGAAGUCUGGGAAGUGAAGGAAAGAACUAGUCAGAGCACAAAUUUCGUGGAGAAGUGCAGUGCUUUGUUUUGAAAGAGUAAAAAAAAGUGAGCAUAACAAAGAACUGUUCCCAAACCUGAACCUGCCUCCUGAGCAGCAGUUAAGCACUUUGGCUGAUGAGCAGAUGAGCAAAGCAGUAGGAGAGCAGUUAACAUGGCAUCAACCCUGAGCAUCAUGGGAACCACAUGACCUUCAGCUAGAGAAGCCAGAAGAGAGCAAAGAGGGUGCUUGAGUCAGCAAUGGGAGUGAAACCAACAGCUCUGAGCUGGGCUGCCUACAUGUUAUCUUUUUUCAG
This is a long non-coding RNA of Pipra filicauda (Wire-tailed manakin), 590 nucleotides long. RefSeq lists it as uncharacterized. NCBI's taxonomy places the organism in Eukaryota, Metazoa, Chordata, Aves, Passeriformes, Pipridae. The transcript has 4 exons. The record is from RefSeq and is a predicted model, not a curated record.